This 482-nucleotide ribosomal RNA is filed under the name uncultured bacterium. RNAcentral describes it as "partial 16S ribosomal RNA". It matches the Rfam family "Bacterial small subunit ribosomal RNA", at positions 28 to 507 of the family's 1533-position model. The record is from RNAcentral.
GACGAACGCUGGCGGCGUGCCUAACACAUGCAAGUCGAACGGAACUGUUUUGAAAGAUUUCUUCGGAAUGAAUUUGAUUUAGUUUAGUGGCGGACGGGUGAGUAACGCGUGAGUAACCUGCCUUCAAGAGGGGAAUAACAUUCUGAAAAGAAUGCUAAUACCGCAUGACAUAUCGGAACCACAUGGUUUUGAUAUCAAAGAUUUUAUCGCUUGAAGAUGGACUCGCGUCCGAUUAGUUAGUUGGUGAGGUAACGGCUCACCAAGACCGCGAUCGGUAGCCGGACUGAGAGGUUGAACGGCCACAUUGGGACGGAGACACGGCCCAGACUCCUACGGGAGGCAGCAGUGGGGGAUAUUGCGAAAUGGGGGCAACCCUGACGGAGCAACGCCGCGUGAAGGAUGAAGGUUUUCGGAUUGUAAACUUCUUUUAUUAAGGACGAAAAAUGACGGUACUUAAUGAAUAAGCCCCGGCUAACUACGUG